Molecule: long non-coding RNA, 214 nt
Filed under: Glycine max (soybean)
Lineage: Eukaryota; Viridiplantae; Streptophyta; Magnoliopsida; Fabales; Fabaceae
Description: long non-coding RNA (GMAX_LNC004005)
Source: RNAcentral
UGUAAUCUAUCAUAUUGAUUGUAUAACAAGAAAAUAUUCUUAUAUAGUUUCUAAGAUGAUUACCGUCCAAAUUAUGCCUCUGACAAUGCAAGGACCUCAUAAGCGCGCUUUUAUUUUGGAGUCACAGUGAAACGGUUAAUUAAGUUAAUUUAAACAUUAUUUUCUAAGAUGGAGCACAUUAAAACAAUAAUACUUUUAUGUCCUACACUUUUUA